RNAcentral lists this small RNA (511 nucleotides) under Pongo abelii (Sumatran orangutan). RNAcentral's name for it is "processed transcript". The record is from RNAcentral. Lineage: Eukaryota; Metazoa; Chordata; Mammalia; Primates; Hominidae.
AGGCCUACGUGACACGACCUGAAGCAGCAAUGGCGGCGGACGAGGGCUGUGCCCCCGGCCCGCCCUGUUAGGAGCCGCGAGUAAGGCGAGUGUCCGACGCCAAGCUGGCUGACAGAGCCCGGCCGCGGCCUCCGCGGGCCCAGGGGCCUCCAGGCCCCGUGACCACCGGACCGAGCACCCUGGAACGGCCCCGGCUUGGCCUCGGGACAGUCCGCGCCCUCACCGACUCCCUGGGGAACGCCGCUUGGCCGCCGCCGCCGCCGCCGCCGCAGGACCCACGAGAAGCGGAAACCGGCGCAGGGACCCGGUCCCUGCGGCGCCGUACAUGGAGAAUGUAGUAAGAAGACAAAAACUGAUGACCAAGAGAAUGUGUCAGCCGAUGCACCGAGUCCAGCCCAGGAAAAUGGAGAGAAAUGUGAUACCUCAAAGCACAAAGUGCUGGUAGUGUCUGUGUGUCCUCAAUCUUUGCCUUAUUUUGCUGCUAAAUUCAACCUCAGUGUAACUGAUGCAU